RNAcentral lists this ribosomal RNA (405 nucleotides) under uncultured bacterium. RNAcentral describes it as "bacterial SSU rRNA". It matches the Rfam family "Bacterial small subunit ribosomal RNA", at positions 355 to 776 of the family's 1533-position model. The record is from RNAcentral.
UGGGGAAUAUUGCACAAUGGGGGAAACCCUGAUGCAGCGACGCCGCGUGAGUGAAGAAGUAUUUCGGUAUGUAAAGCUCUAUCAGCAGGAACGAGACAAGACGGUACCUGACUAAGAAGCCCCGGCUAACUACGUGCCAGCAGCCGCGGUAAUACGUAGGGGGCAAGCGUUAUCCGGAAUCACUGGGUGUAAAGGGAGCGUAGACGGCUGUGCAAGCCUGAAGUGAAAGGCAGGGGCCCAACCCCUGGACUGCUUUGGGAACUGUACGGCUGGAGUGCAGGAGAGGUAAGUGGAAUUCCUAGUGUAGCGGUGAAAUGCGUAGAUAUUAGGAGGAACACCAGUGGCGAAGGCGGCUUACUGGACUGUAACUGACGUUGAGGCUCGAAAGCGUGGGGAGCAAACAGG